This 497-nucleotide ribosomal RNA is filed under the name uncultured bacterium. Its description in RNAcentral is "partial 16S ribosomal RNA". It matches the Rfam family "Bacterial small subunit ribosomal RNA", at positions 28 to 507 of the family's 1533-position model. The record is from RNAcentral.
GAUGAACGCUGGCGGCGUGCCUAAUACAUGCAAGUCGAGCGAACAGAUGAGGAGCUUGCUCCUCUGACGUUAGCGGCGGACGGGUGAGUAACACGUGGAUAACCUACCUAUAAGACUGGGAUAACUUCGGGAAACCGGAGCUAAUACCGGAUAAUAUAUUGAACCGCAUGGUUCAAUAGUGAAAGACGGUUUUGCUGUCACUUAUAGAUGGAUCCGCGCCGCAUUAGCUAGUUGGUAAGGUAACGGCUUACCAAGGCAACGAUGCGUAGCCGACCUGAGAGGGUGAUCGGCCACACUGGAACUGAGACACGGUCCAGACUCCUACGGGAGGCAGCAGUAGGGAAUCUUCCGCAAAGGGCGAAAGCCUGACGGAGCAACGCCGCGUGAGUGAUGAAGGUCUUCGGAUCGUAAAACUCUGUUAUUGGGGAAGAACAGAUGUGUAAGUAACUAUGCACGUCUUGACGGUACCUAAUCAGAAAGCCACGGCUAACUACGUG